UGCGCGCGGGCUUAGACAUUCUUUUGUGAAACGCUGGGCUUAACGUAGCGGCUGCGGGAAGACACGGCUUAACUUGAGUACCGGGAGGGGUCAAAAGUAUUCCAGGGGGACCGGUAAAAUGGUAUAAUCCUUGGAGGACCACCUGUGGCGAAGGCGUUUGACCGAGAACGGAUCUGACGGUGAGGGACGAAAGCCAGGGGAGCAAACCGGAUUAGAUACCCGA
Molecule: ribosomal RNA, 223 nt
Filed under: uncultured archaeon
Lineage: Archaea
Description: partial 16S ribosomal RNA
Rfam family: Archaeal small subunit ribosomal RNA
Source: RNAcentral